This 1433-nucleotide unclassified non-coding RNA is filed under the name uncultured Neocallimastigales. RNAcentral's name for it is "partial contains small subunit ribosomal RNA, internal transcribed spacer 1, 5.8S ribosomal RNA, internal transcribed spacer 2, and large subunit ribosomal RNA". The stretch from base 657 to 1433 matches the Rfam family "Eukaryotic large subunit ribosomal RNA", at positions 1 to 628 of the family's 3401-position model. Lineage: Eukaryota; Fungi; Neocallimastigomycota; Neocallimastigomycetes; Neocallimastigales. The record is from RNAcentral.
UUUCCGUAGGUGAACCUGCGGAAGGAUCAUUAAUAAAUGGCUCCAUUUUAGAGCAUUAAUAAUCCCUACCCUUUGUGAAUUUGUUUGUUUGAAUAAUUUUUUUUCCAAAAAAAAUUAUUGAAUGUCUUUCCCUGUUUUGGUGGAGCUUGUAAAGUGAAACCAGGCAGGGGAAUGGCAAACAAUAAUUAUUUUUGAAAAAAGACCUUUUUUUAAAAUUAAACUUUUUGUAUUCAUUUGUCUAAAAUUAUUUUUAUAAUAUAAAAACAACUUUUGACAAUGGAUCUCUUGGUUCUCGCAACGAUGAAGAACGCAGCAAAAUGCGAUAAGUAGUGUGAAUUGCAGAAUACGUGAAUCAUCGAAUCUUCGAACGCAUAUUGCACUUUUUUAGUUUACUAAAAAAGUAUGUCUGUUUGAGUAUCAGUAAAAUAUUCUCAUAAAAAACAUUGUUUUUUUAUGGUUAUGAGUGUUUUACAACGAUAACAAGUUGUUUCACUUUAAGUUCUUUGUUAUCAAAAAAAUCAUUAAAAGCUAAUUUUAAAGAUUUUUUAAAAUUGGAUAAAAUUUUCCCGUAAAAAGGAAUAACCUAAACAAUUUUAAAAAAUUAAAAUUGGUUUGAUUUUUUUUGAAACCCAAAGGAAAAAAAAACGAAAUUAACUUGAUCUCAAAUCAGAUAAGAGUACCCGCUGAACUUAAGCAUAUCAAUAAGCGGAGGAAAAGAAACUAACUAGGAUUCCCUCAGUAACGGCGAGUGAAGCGGGAAGAGCUCAAAUUUGAAAUCUUCAAGGUUUUACCUUGACGAAUUGUAGUUUAAAGAAGUGUUUUCUGUUGGAGUUUUGGUAAAAGUUCUUUGGAAAAGGACAUCAUAGAGGGUGAGAAUCCCGUAUUUGACCAUUAUCUCCAGCUUUGUGAUACACUUUCAAAGAGUCGGAUUGUUUGGGAAUGCAGUCCAAAAUGGGUGGUAAAUUUCAUCUAAAGCCAAAUACUGGCGAGAGACCGAUAGCGAACAAGUACCGUGAGGGAAAGAUGAAAAGAGCUUUGAAAAGAGAGUUAAACAGUACGUGAAAUUGUCAAAAGGGAAGCGUUUGACACCAGUGUUGUUUUCUCGAAAAUCAAUUAAAAAAGGCUGGAUUUUGUGUUGUAUUGACUUUAUCAGCUUUCUGCACUUUUUUCUUGUCUUUUUUAAUGCACUUUUCGUUUAACAAGUCAACAUCAAUUUCUUUUGUUGUAAAAGGGUCAUUGGAAGGUGGCUUUCUUUUCGGAGAAAGUGUUUAUAGCCUUUGGCCUCUGCAAUCGGAGAGAUUGAGGUCUGCAGCGUAGAUCCUUCGGGGUUAGAUACAUUUGUGCUAAGUUAUAGCCUUUCAUAGACAACUUGUUGACUAUGAUCAGCCAUGUAGCUUACUCGCUUAUGCUAUUUUACCACGCUUAGGAUGUUG